This 566-nucleotide ribosomal RNA is filed under the name uncultured Actinomycetes bacterium. RNAcentral describes it as "bacterial SSU rRNA". It matches the Rfam family "Bacterial small subunit ribosomal RNA", at positions 862 to 1431 of the family's 1533-position model. Lineage: Bacteria; Bacillati; Actinomycetota; Actinomycetes. The record is from RNAcentral.
AAGCGCCCCGCCUGGGGAGUACGAUCGCAAGAUUAAAACUCAAAGGAAUUGACGGGGCCCCGCACAAGCAGCGGAGCAUGCGGCUUAAUUCGACGCAACGCGAAGAACCUUACCAAGGCUUGACAUAUACAGGAAUACGGCAGAGAUGUCGUAGCCGCAAGGUCUGUAUACAGGUGGUGCAUGGUUGUCGUCAGCUCGUGUCGUGAGAUGUUGGGUUAAGUCCCGCAACGAGCGCAACCCUCGUUCUGUGUUGCCAGCAUUUAGUUGGGGACUCACAGGAGACUGCCGGGGUUAACUCGGAGGAAGGUGGGGAUGACGUCAAAUCAUCAUGCCCCGUAUGUCUUGGGCUGCACGCAUGCUACAAUGGCUGGUACAAACGGCUGCGAUACCGCAAGGUGGAGCGAAUCCGAGAAAGCCAGUCUCAGUUCGGAUUGGGGUCUGCAACUCGACCCCAUGAAGUCGGAGUUGCUAGUAAUCGUAGAUCAGCAACGCUACGGUGAAUACGUUCCCGGGGCUUGUACACACCGCCCGUCACAUCACGAAAGUCGGUAACACCCAAAGUCAGU